AGCGAACGCUGGCGGCAGGCUUAACACAUGCAAGUCGAACGCCCGGGCAACCGGGAGUGGCAGACGGGUGAGUAACACGUGGGAACGUACCCUUUGGUUCGGAAUAACUCAGGGAAACUUGAGCUAAUACCGGAUAAGCCCUUAUGGGGAAAGAUUUAUCGCCGAAGGAUCGGCCCGCGUCCGAUUAGCUAGUUGGUGAGGUAAUGGCUCACCAAGGCGACGAUCGGUAGCUGGUCUGAGAGGAUGAUCAGCCACACUGGGACUGAGACACGGCCCAGACUCCUACGGGAGGCAGCAGUGGGGAAUAUUGGACAAUGGGGGCAACCCUGAUCCAGCCAUGCCGCGUGAGUGAUGAAGGCCCUAGGGUUGUAAAGCUCUUUUAGCAGGGAAGAUAAUGACUGUACCUGCAGAAUAAGCUCCGGCUAACUUCG
Molecule: ribosomal RNA, 431 nt
Filed under: uncultured bacterium
Lineage: Bacteria
Description: bacterial SSU rRNA
Rfam family: Bacterial small subunit ribosomal RNA
Source: RNAcentral